This 393-nucleotide ribosomal RNA is filed under the name uncultured bacterium. RNAcentral describes it as "bacterial SSU rRNA". It matches the Rfam family "Bacterial small subunit ribosomal RNA", at positions 364 to 774 of the family's 1533-position model. The record is from RNAcentral.
UUGCACAAUGGAGGAAACUCUGAUGCAGCGACGCCGCGUGAGCGAUGAAGCCCUUCGGGGUGUAAAGCUCUUUCGACGGGAACGAUAAUGACGGUACCCGGAGAAGAAGCUGCGGCUAACUACGUGCCAGCAGCCGCGGUAAUACGUAGGCAGCAAACGUUGUUCGGAAUUACUGGGCGUAAAGAGUGUGUAGGCGGUUUUGCAAGUUUGGUGUGAAAUCUCCCGGCUUAACUGGGAGGGUGCGCCGAAAACUGCAAGGCUCGAGUACUGGAGAGGAAAGCGGAAUUCCUUGUGUAGCGGUGAAAUGCGUAGAUAUCAGGAGGAACACCGGUGGUGUAGACGGCUUUCUGGACAGUCACUGACGCUGAGACACGAAAGCGUGGGGAGCAAACA